AAUCAACGCUGGCGGCGUGCCUCAGACAUGCAAGUCGAACGAUUAAAGCUCUCUUCGGAGAGUGUAUAGAGUGGCGCACGGGUGAGUAACACGUAAGUAAUCUACCUUUGAGUGGGGAAUAACGUUCGGAAACGGACGCUAAUACCGCAUAAUGCAGCGGCAUCGCAAGAUGACAGUUGUUAAAGGAGCAAUCCGCUUAAAGAGGAGCUUGCGGCAGAUUAGCUUGUUGGUAAGGUAACGGCUUACCAAGGCUACGAUCUGUAUCCGGUCUAAGAGGACGGUCGGACACACUGACACUGAAUAACGGGUCAGACUCCUACGGGAGGCAGCAGUCGGGAAUUUUGGGCAAUGGGCGAAAGCCUGACCCAGCAACGCCGCGUGAAGGAUGAAGUAUUUCGGUAUGUAAACCUCUUUCAGCUCCGACGAAGCGAGAGUGACGGUAGGAGCAGAAGAAGCA
RNAcentral lists this ribosomal RNA (457 nucleotides) under uncultured bacterium. RNAcentral's name for it is "bacterial SSU rRNA". It matches the Rfam family "Bacterial small subunit ribosomal RNA", at positions 32 to 492 of the family's 1533-position model. The record is from RNAcentral.